This is a small nuclear RNA of Heteronotia binoei (common prickly gecko), 105 nucleotides long. Lineage: Eukaryota; Metazoa; Chordata; Lepidosauria; Squamata; Gekkonidae. The record is from RefSeq and is a predicted model, not a curated record.
UUGGCUUCAAUGACAUGUGUAUGCAAAUUUAGACAAUACAGAGAAAGAUAGCACGAACCCUGUACAAGGAUGAAACGCAAUGUUUGUGAAGCAUUCUCUAUUUUU